GUUUAUCCAAAAUUCCGAACAACUUCAGAAAAAAAUGCGACUCGAUCCGAUUCCCUCAGCAAAUCCGCCAACAGCAAACAUACAGCAACAACGUACAAUAGCCAACGAUAGUACAAAUCGAACAACGUCAGAGUAAAACUGAACAGCAACCAGCAAACCCGACCACCUUGAACCUGACUCAGCUCUAACCCAUUAAAACACCACCAAAACCCAAACCCAGAGACCCAGCGCCCAAACCUAACAAUAUUUUCUUUCCACAUCGGCGUGUGCCAAUCACGAUAUAGCAACAUCGAGUGUUCUACAGGCUGCUCUAAUUCGUCCAUCAAUUGCUAACCGUUUUUAAAUUCAAAUCUCUCAACAAACUUGUACGAUUUUAGCCAGCUCAAUUUAUCGUGAAUUUGAAAUUGGUCGAAAAUUCUAAAAUUAUCCCACUAAUUGUCCCUCUCCCACAUCGGUGGUGCGUAAAAACCUCAAUCCAACAUUCUCCUAUAAAAAGGGGAUUGCGGAAGAGCAAAUGGGCAAGUCUCAAGGGCUGAAAAAAGCAUUUUUGAGCAAAAAUCAGUAAAAACUUUAUUUUUUAGUGAAAUUUUUAAGCGGUCAAUUGAUCAAAACUCUCGAAGGACCCAUUUUUGGUAGUGGUGGAGUCCGAUGGUAGCUCAAAGUCUUGUUUUUCUGUUCCAAAAGAGCAAUAAUUUAAAACCUGCCAAUGUCAUGUCAUUCAAGGGUUAGACGAAUAAAGUGAGGGGUAUGAUAAUGAAUGGAAAGAAGGUGAUGAGAAGCAGUUAGUGGAAGACAUAGAGGAAUACAAAAAGUGAGAGAAUCUCAACCUGGAGGAGCCAUAAUCCACUCGAGGUGAAUGGUCAAAAGUGGACCAAACCAAUCAAUUCCGAUGCAGUAAAGAGAUACUAUGUUUGAAGGAUGUUUUAGUUUCUUGUUUCCUUGGUUUAUUUGUAAUCGCCUGUUUGAUAGUAUUUGUUUUAUGAUGUGUAAUUUCCUAGAAUCCCUUUCCUUUAUGUAUGAACUACGUUUGACUCGAAUUCCUAAGAAAGGAAUACGUAGGCGGUCGAUGUUGGCUUCGGUCAACCCCUUA
Long non-coding RNA from Capsicum annuum, 1090 nucleotides. RefSeq lists it as uncharacterized. The record is from RefSeq and is a predicted model, not a curated record. NCBI's taxonomy places the organism in Eukaryota, Viridiplantae, Streptophyta, Magnoliopsida, Solanales, Solanaceae. The transcript is spliced from 2 exons.